UAGGGAAUCUUCGGCAAUGGACGGAAGUCUGACCGAGCAACGCCGCGUGAGUGAAGAAGGUUUUCGGAUCGUAAAGCUCUGUUGUAAGAGAAGAACGAGUGUGAGAGUGGAAAGUUCACACUGUGACGGUAUCUUACCAGAAAGGGACGGCUAACUACGUGCCAGCAGCCGCGGUAAUACGUAGGUCCCGAGCGUUGUCCGGAUUUAUUGGGCGUAAAGCGAGCGCAGGCGGUUAGAUAAGUCUGAAGUUAAAGGCUGUGGCUUAACCAUAGUAGGCUUUGGAAACUGUUUAACUUGAGUGCAAGAGGGGAGAGUGGAAUUCCAUGUGUAGCGGUGAAAUGCGUAGAUAUAUGGAGGAACACCGGUGGCGAAAGCGGCUCUCUGGCUUGUAACUGACGCUGAGGUUUGAAAGCGUGGGGAGCAAACAGGAUUAGAUACCCUGGUAGUCCACGCUGUAAACGAUGAGUGCUAGGUGUUAGACCCUUUCCGGGGUUUAGUGCCGUAGCUACGCAUUAACACUCCGCCUGGGGAGUACGACCGCAAGGUUG
RNAcentral lists this ribosomal RNA (548 nucleotides) under uncultured bacterium. RNAcentral describes it as "bacterial SSU rRNA". It matches the Rfam family "Bacterial small subunit ribosomal RNA", at positions 355 to 896 of the family's 1533-position model. The record is from RNAcentral.